GUUUUAAUAAUUUAAGUAAAAUAUUGAUCUUGUAAAUCAAUAAUAAGGUAUUAACCCUUUUAAAACU
RNAcentral lists this transfer RNA (67 nucleotides) under Paranauphoeta circumdata. Its description in RNAcentral is "tRNA-Thr". It matches the Rfam family "tRNA". Rfam says of the family: Transfer RNA (tRNA) molecules are approximately 80 nucleotides in length. Their secondary structure includes four short double-helical elements and three loops (D, anti-codon, and T loops). The record is from RNAcentral. Lineage: Eukaryota; Metazoa; Arthropoda; Insecta; Blattodea; Blaberidae.